Molecule: unclassified non-coding RNA, 315 nt
Filed under: Hevea brasiliensis (rubber tree)
Lineage: Eukaryota; Viridiplantae; Streptophyta; Magnoliopsida; Malpighiales; Euphorbiaceae
Source: RNAcentral
GAACUUGACAUGCUUGUUCUCAGGGUAAGACUUGGCCCAGGCCUUCAUCACGAAGGGGUCAUUGACGCUAAUUAGUAGAAUAUCAUCAAUGCCCUUUGACUUGAGGGCUUCAGCAUUCUCAAUAAACCCCGGCACAUGCUUCAAACUGCAAGUGGGAGUGAAGGCGCCGGGUACUCCAAAGAGAACGACCUUCUUGCCGGCGGCAAGAGAGUGUAUAGAGGUUUGUUGGAGCUGAUCGUCUUCAUCGAAGUAAGCCACCGUACCGUCCGGCAACGUAUCUCCAACAGCAAUAGGAGCCAUUUGACUUUGAUUUCG